UAAUAACCAAUUUCUGUAAAGUUGCAUAUAGUAGAUCAUUUUUCGAAAAAUAAGGUCAUAAAGAAGUUUUACUUCUUACGUGUGUACACUAGUACACGCACACAUUUUUUACUAAAAAGUUGUAUCGGUACCUUAGGAACUUUUCAAUUUUGUAACGACUUUGCUAUUGUUGAAAAAAUAAGACUGACGUUAUGAAUUUUAACGGAGUACUUUUUGCUAAACGUUUUUGUUAUCUAACCUUUACAAGCACGUCAGCACAAUGUAUUUAUAAGCUUUAAAAACUAAAAUAAAUAGACCACGACCACAGACGCGAGAUACUGACUGUAUUUGCAAAAAUUAUGUUGUAUGUGUGUAGU
RNAcentral lists this unclassified non-coding RNA (356 nucleotides) under Melitaea cinxia (Glanville fritillary). RNAcentral's name for it is "misc RNA ENSMCXG00005019309.1". Lineage: Eukaryota; Metazoa; Arthropoda; Insecta; Lepidoptera; Nymphalidae. The record is from RNAcentral.